This 253-nucleotide ribosomal RNA is filed under the name uncultured bacterium. Its description in RNAcentral is "partial 16S ribosomal RNA". It matches the Rfam family "Bacterial small subunit ribosomal RNA", at positions 524 to 776 of the family's 1533-position model. The record is from RNAcentral.
UACAGAGGGUGCAAGCGUUGUUCGGAAUCAUUGGGCGUAAAGGGCGUGUAGGCGGUCUGUUAAGUCAUGUGUGAAAUCCCUCGGCUCAACCGGGGAACGACGCAUGAAACUGACAAGCUAGAGUACCAAAGAGGGGGGUGGAAUUCCCGGUGUAGCGGUGAAAUGCGCAGAUAUCGGGAGGAACACCAAUGGCGAAGGCAGCUCGCUGGGACGGCACUGACGCUGAGGCGCGAAAGCGUGGGGAGCAAACAGG